RNAcentral lists this ribosomal RNA (406 nucleotides) under uncultured bacterium. RNAcentral's name for it is "partial 16S ribosomal RNA". It matches the Rfam family "Bacterial small subunit ribosomal RNA", at positions 30 to 526 of the family's 1533-position model. The record is from RNAcentral.
AUUGAACGCUGGCGGCAGGCCUAACACAUGCAAGUCGAGCGAGCGGCGGACGGGUGAGUAAUGUCUGGGAAACUGUGUGAUGGAGGGGGAUAACUACUGGAAACGGUAGCUAAUACCGCAUACCAUCAGAUGUGCCCAGAUGGGAUUAGCUAGUUGGUGGGGUAAAGGCCUACCAAGGCGACGACCUGUAGCGGGUCUGAGAGGAUGAGCCGCCCCACUGGGACUGGGUCACGGCCCAGACUCCUACGGGAGGCAGCAGUGGGGAAUAUUGGACAAUGGGGGGAACCCUGAUCCAGCCAUGCCGCGUGUGUGAAGAAGGCCUUAUGUUUGUAAAGCACUUUAAGCGAGGAGGCGUUACUCGCAGAAUAAGCACCGGCUAACUCUGUGCCAGCAGCCGCGGUAAUUC